AGUGAACGCUGGCGGUAGGCCUAACACAUGCCAGUCGAACGGCAGCACAGUAAGAGCUUGCUCUUACGGGUGGCGAGUGGCGGACGGGUGAGGAAUACAUCGGAAUCUACUUUUUCGUGGGGGAUAACGUAGGGAAACUUACGCUAAUACCGCAUACAACCUACGGGUGAAAGCAGGGGAUCUUCGGACCUUGCGCGAUUGAAUGAGCCGAUGUCGGAUUAGCUAGUUGGCGGGGUAAAGGCCCACCAAGGCGACGAUCCGUAGCUGGUCUGAGAGGAUGAUCGGCCACACUGGAACUGAGACACGGUCCAGACUCCUACGGGAGGCAGCAGUGGGGAAUAUUGGACAAUGGGCGCAAGCCUGAUCCAGCCAUACCGCGUGAGUGAAGAAGGCCUUCGGGUUGUAAAGCCCUUUUGUUGAGAAAGAAAAGCAGCAGGUUAAUACCCCGCUGUUCUGACGGUACCCAAAGAAUAAGCACCGGCUAACUUCGUG
Molecule: ribosomal RNA, 492 nt
Filed under: uncultured bacterium
Lineage: Bacteria
Description: partial 16S ribosomal RNA
Rfam family: Bacterial small subunit ribosomal RNA
Source: RNAcentral